AGAGGGGCCAUCCCCAAGCUCAGGGAACACUUCCAGCUCUCUUGGAAGAGUCAGCAGGCUGACCUGCUAGCAAGGCUUGGAAGCUAUCCUGGUUUGAGCUGUACCGGACACCGGUCCACAAUCAGUGGGGAGGUUGCUCUGAGCCACAAAAGAGCCCUGCCCCGGACACCUGGAGCUCUGGAUUCUGGGCCCUGCUCUGCCGCAAAAUCACUCUGUGCUUGGCACCAGCCACUUAACCCUUGGGGUCUUAGUGCCCUCAGCUUCAUUCCUGCAUAUCUUAGGUCCCUGUUCAAUGUCCCUUUCUCAGAGAGGCCUUCCCUGAAUACCCAUCUAAAAAUAGCAUCCCUAGCUCUUUCCCGGUGCCCCUGUAUAAUCUUUCCCCUUGGCUCCUAUCACCACCUGCUAUAUUUUCUGGGUAUAUGUUUACUUUCUUUUUGUCUCUCUCCCUCCAUAGAAUGUAAACGCCACGCGGGGAGCAGCUUCAUCACCUACUGUUCCCUGCUCUGGGCCUUACAGUGCAUUCUCCAUCAAUAUCCAGUGGGUCACUCCAGUGGAAUGGACCCAGUCGACUGGUGCAGCAAUAGCAGCAGCUGCUGCAAAAUGCUUCUGAUUUACUGGGAAACUGCACUCCAAGGAGCCAUAUUAAUGCCAGCGAUAAACCUGGUCCCCCAGGAGCACCUGCAUUUUAAGGGAGGUGAGAGACACAUUCCAAGGGAACGAAUUUCAGAGACGGGAUUUCAGGCACAGCAGCAACAACCAGAAAGAGCUUAUGGGGUCCUGGGUCUUUCAAAUCACAUGCCAGAGGUGGCUUCCAGUGUCACUGACAUAAAAGGCUGCCUGGCAUUAGGUGGAUACAAAUGACAUUGCUGUGGAAAGGGGGUGUCUCAGGUCAGGUCCCCUAGAAGCAGACAGACAUGAGCAUUUCUGCACAAGUGGAGGUCUGGGAGAACCUGGGGAGGGAGUUGGUGAGACAGGAAGGGAAGUUGAAAAAGCCAAGCAAGGGUGUGACCUCAGGCCAUGUCCCUUGGAGGACCGUUUUAGCCAAGAGAGCUCUGAAGUGUUAACUUACGCUUCAGAGUGUAUCCCUACCUGAGGUGGGGAGGCCGGGCUUUCAUAGCCGUGACUCCUGAGGAUCUGGCUCGGUGGGAUGGGGAGGUGAGCUCUUAAGGGCCCCUCACAACCACAGCAGUGUUUGGGCUUGCCCCAAGGUCUUGAUGCUCACACCUACUCCAACUUGGGUGUUUCUGCUCUCAACAUGUGGGCUGGAUAGUAGGGCUGCCACAGCUUCCCCAUUGCCUUUUUUUUUUUCUUUUUAAAGAGACAGGGUCUCACUCUGUUGUCCAGGCUGGAGUACAGUGCUGUGAUCGUAGCUCACUGCAGCCUUGAACUUGUGGGCUCAAGCAAUACUCUUGCCUCAGCCACUCAAGUAGUUAACACUAUGGGGGUGUGGGUGCACUGCCAUACCUGGCUAAUUUAAUCACCCAUUAGUCACUGGCAAGUGCAGCCCAGGGAGGGGACAGAGGAUAGAAAUUCCCAGGCCCUUCCUGCUUUCUGCCCUGGCAGCAAAGUAGCUCCAGAAGCCCAAAGGCAGUUCUUUGAAAAAGUGUCAGGGGCACUGGUUAUCAGAAGGUAAAGUGCGCUGCAGGCCAACACCCCCUCCCUCCACAUGAACAGGGUAAAAAGACUCCUGAGGAUCUGGCCCAGUAGGAUGGGGGAGGUGGGCCGUUAAGGGCCCCUCACCACCGCGGCAGUGUUUUAUCUUGUGGAGUGAAAAGAUUUCUCAUAUUCUACCACCUGGCCACUCUCCAGGUUCCCAUGGAAACAUCAAUUUAUCCUAGUCACCCCCGGUUCAAAGCCCAUGAUCAUGGGCAGAUGGAUGGGUGGGCUUGCCCCAAGGCCUCCAUACUCACACCCACUCCAACUUGGGCGUUUCUGCUGUCAACAUGUGGGCUGGAUAGUAGGGCUGCCGCAGCUUCCCCAUUGCCUUUUUUUUUUCUUUUUAAAGAGACAGGAUCUCACUCUGUUGUCCAGGCUGGAGUGCAGUGCCCAUGAUCAUAGCUCACCACAGCCUUGAACUCCUGGGUUUGAGUGAUAAUCCUGUCUCAGCCUCCCAAGUAGUUAGGACUACAGGGGUGUCGGUGCACUGCCACGCCUGGCUAAUUUAAAGAAAAAUUUUGUAGAGGCAGGGUCUUGCUUUGUUGCCCAGACUGGUCUUGAGCUCC
Long non-coding RNA from Callithrix jacchus (white-tufted-ear marmoset), 2222 nucleotides. Lineage: Eukaryota; Metazoa; Chordata; Mammalia; Primates; Cebidae. The record is from Ensembl.